UACGAAGGGGGCUAGCGUUGCUCGGAAUCACUGGGCGUAAAGCGCACGUAGGCGGCUUUCUAAGUCAGGGGUGAAAAUCCUGGAGCUCAACUCCAGAACUGCCUUUGAUACUGGAGAGCUUGAGUCCGGAAGAGGUGAGUGGAACUCCGAGUGUAGAGGUGAAAUUCGUAGAUAUUCGGAAGAACACCAGUGGCGAAGGCGGCUCACUGGUCCGGUACUGACGCUGAGGUGCGAAAGCGUGGGGAGCAAACAGG
This 254-nucleotide ribosomal RNA is filed under the name uncultured bacterium. RNAcentral describes it as "partial 16S ribosomal RNA". It matches the Rfam family "Bacterial small subunit ribosomal RNA", at positions 524 to 776 of the family's 1533-position model. The record is from RNAcentral.